ACAAUAUAGACAAGCAAUGCAAGCCAACAAAGAAAAUUAGUUAGGGAAGCACCGAGUUCGCCAGAGGUAGCAGAACGUUUGUCGAGCCAUCCAAUAUCGCCAACGGUGGCUACACUAGAGGUAUGUGAUGCCUCGACCACCCUAAAAAACAGCCUUGCUAUUCCCCCUUCCCUUUCUUCUUGAGAAUGGUUGUAGCUAACUGAGUGCCCUCAGUCAGUCCCUCAAGCUUUUCUGUAUUCAGAGAUGGUAACUGAGCACUAGGUUGUUAUCUGUGUUGUUUGAUUUUUUCCAUGCACUGUGGCUGGACAUGAUGUUGGCAAAUACACUAGACAUCAUGGGCUGAGACAAUACAAUAGAAAUCAUGUCGAGGCUGGAAAAUUUGCUGAACUUGUGGUUGUUAGCAAUAAACCAUGCGUUGUGGCGUGCGUGGGUGCGCAUGUGUGUUGUGGUGGUGCGUGAGCCUGGGUUAGGCUGUUGGCGAUAGUUGUGGGAGGCCGUUGGCGUUCUGUUGAGGGAGGCCCGCGAUGUGCGCGUGUGGGACGCGUCGAGGGAGUGGACCGGACCAAGCGGAUCGUGGCGUGCAAGCAGCGUCGUGCGUGUAUGGGCAGCGGUGUUGGCCUGGGUAUAAGAACUCCUCCCUUGUGUAUGCUUGUAAGUUGAGCCGAGAGGAAGAAAUACAAGAGAGAAAAAAGGCCCCGGCGUUCCUUGCCAGGGUGGGCGUCCGUCGCCGCGGGUGUUUGUCGCCCGGCAAAAUCGUCUCCUCAUAUUCUUGUGAUUGUUUGUCAAUCCUCGGUUCCAACAGUGGUGCCUGUGUUCCUUCUCACAGUAGUUGUUUUAUGUGGUGAAAGUUUUAGAGGCCAAAUAACAGUUAUGUUGUUCCAGGCUUUUCAGUCCAAGCAGAUUUAUGUUUGCAAGAAUUAGUGUACUUACAUGCAGAACCAGUUUUUCGUAGAUAAUUGCUUACAAGAUUUAUGUGGUUAAUAUUUCUGCAGAGUUUUCAAACAAGAGUGAAACCUAUAAUGAUGAGUGAUUGUUAUGGUAUGAUUACUAGAUCAAUAAUUCAUAGCAGGGAAGCAAUUUUACUGGAACAAGUAAAUCCAGUAUUAAACUUAGUAACUUGUUGGGUAGAUCAGAUUAGAUGCGGCUUAAACCUUCACCGCUCCCUGCCAUUUAGUACUGGCUGGAGUCUGUUUGAGCUGACCAAUGUGGAGCAGAGUUGCAAUGGAGAUACCCAGUCUCACAUGCUUUAUUCUACUUCUUGUAGUAUAACAGAGCUUGGUUGUAGCUAACAGUCAGUCCCUCAAGAUUUUGUGUAUUUAGAAAUUUAUUUAGAGAUGGUAAAAUAAAGAUCUUGAUGUAUCGAUGGUUUGCGGUAGUGGGGCUGUUCUGUUACAGUUUAGGAUACUCAAAUUCCUCCUGCUCGUAUCAUCGUCUCCGUGUAAUGUGAUGUAGCACAGUACUAUGCACUUCUGCACUAAGCCCAGAACCUAGCUAGCUUACUUGAGGGUCGGCUCCGGAUUUUGACGAUUGUGUUUGUGUAUAAUUUUUGAGGGGCUGUAGAGAGUCAAUUAACAAGUCAAUUAAUACAAACCUGUUUUUCUCUACGGUCCUCUGAACAUACUCGCUAUAAGAACAUAUAUUUCAAUAUUUGAGCACUGAAAAAAUUGUCAAAUUGACUAACUGCCAUGUGAAAAAGUAGCAAGAACGAACUCAGGAAAUUCUGCAAAUGAUAUCAGCAUUGGUUUGUGUAGAACUGUGGAUGUUUCUCUUGCAAGUCUAGGUUUUAGAGAAAAAAAUCCUGCAGUUGUUUGGGUAAUGUUUUUUUGGUUAGGAAUUAGGAGAAUUGUUAUGUAGUAAAAUUACCAAAAUUCUUACAAAAUAUUCUGCAAGUUUUGUUUGCUGAGCAAAGCCAACUGCUUGCCACUAUGUGCGGUUCUCUUGCCAUUUCAUGGGGUGCAACCGCAAGUGGCACAAGACUGUAGUUGUGGUGUUCUAAAAUUUACUGGUGUUGAUGUUUCUUUUCAAGAUUGUGGUAUUGUUUACCAAUUUGGUCCCCGGGUUAUGUACUCAUUUCCUUUUCUAUUCUUUGUAGAUAAUUUGCUUCAGUUCAUCGAACUACCUGCUGAAACAUGUGUAUUGUUUCUCAAUAUAUUGGGCAUCUAUCCACCUCUCAUGAGAUCUCUGAAUUUUCGACGCAUAUUGUAUUUGCUGAAUUAUUUCCUCCAGAUAACUAUGCUUGAAUUCACAAAUGCGUGCAAUGCUUUCAAGUAGAGGUUAGUUCAAUACUUAAGUUGUGCUAUUCCUCUUUCAAGUUUUUGGUCCUAGAAGUGUAAUACUUGGUAGGUGAGCUGCAAAAACGGAAUGUACAUGGCCUG
This 2375-nucleotide long non-coding RNA is filed under the name Triticum aestivum (bread wheat). RNAcentral describes it as "long non-coding RNA (TAES_LNC021677)". Lineage: Eukaryota; Viridiplantae; Streptophyta; Magnoliopsida; Poales; Poaceae. The record is from RNAcentral.